CCUGUGGCCGGGCUUGGAGCGGAGAUGCCAGGAUAGGAGGUGACACCUGACACCCUGCACUGUGACUUUCUGGGGACAUCCCAGCUGGGACCCUGGAGUCGUGUGGGAAAUUGCAGGACCCGCUCGCCUGGGUCACGUCGCUGUUGGGAGCAUGCUGGCUCUCGCAGGCCCUGGGGCUGGGCAGGACGAGGCACCCUGGAGCCCACCGAAGCCCAGCCAGCCUGAGCGCACAGCUGCGGUUCCCU
Long non-coding RNA from Miniopterus natalensis, 245 nucleotides. RefSeq lists it as uncharacterized. Lineage: Eukaryota; Metazoa; Chordata; Mammalia; Chiroptera; Miniopteridae. The record is from RefSeq and is a predicted model, not a curated record.